RNAcentral lists this transfer-messenger RNA (295 nucleotides) under Candidatus Omnitrophota bacterium. RNAcentral describes it as "partial transfer-messenger RNA". It matches the Rfam family "transfer-messenger RNA", at positions 1 to 256 of the family's 374-position model. From Rfam's summary of the family: Bacterial tmRNA, also known as 10Sa RNA or SsrA, is named for its dual tRNA and mRNA-like properties. Its role is to liberate the mRNA from a stalled ribosome. To accomplish this part of the tmRNA is used as a reading frame that ends in a translation stop signal. The record is from RNAcentral. Lineage: Bacteria; Pseudomonadati; Candidatus Omnitrophota.
GGGGGUGAAAAGGGCUCGAUUUAGGUAAAUCGGGUAAAAGUAGCAUGCCGCGGAGGCAAGGUUGGCCGCGUUAACAAUCCUUGCAAAAUAUAAACGCAAACACGCAAGUGUCACGUUUAGGAAUGGCGUUUGCCUCGCCAGUAAUGGCAAGACCAAUGUCGUUCAUUCCAGCCUUCGGGCUUAAUUAAGUCCGGAGCCUCUAUCUAUCCUGCCUGUGGGAUAAAAUAGAGCGGCUAACAGGCUAGUCUGGGCGAAUUAGCCUUUGGUGUCCAGGCAAAAUUCAAAAAGGAUGCUG